AGUGAACGCUGGCGGUAGGCCUAACACAUGCAAGUCGAACGGCAGCACAGGAGAGCUUGCUCUCUGGGUGGCGAGUGGCGGACGGGUGAGGAAUACAUCGGAAUCUACUCUGUCGUGGGGGAUAACGUAGGGAAACUUACGCUAAUACCGCAUACGACCUACGGGUGAAAGCAGGGGAUCUUCGGACCUCGCGCGAUUGAAUGAGCCGAUGUCGGAUUAGCUAGUUGGCGGGGUAAAGGCCCACCAAGGCGACGAUCCGUAGCUGGUCUGAGAGGAUGUUCAGCCACACUGGAACUGAGACACGGUCCAGACUCCUACGGGAGGCAGCAGUGGGGAAUAUUGGACAAUGGGCGCAAGCCUGAUCCAGCCAUACCGCGUGGGUGAAGAAGGCCUUCGGGUUGUAAAGCCCUUUUGUUGGGAAAGAAAUCCAGCUGGCUAAUACCCGGUUGGGAUGACGGUACCCAAAGAAUAAGCACCGGCUAACUUCGUGCCAGCAGCCGCCGUAA
RNAcentral lists this ribosomal RNA (506 nucleotides) under uncultured bacterium. Its description in RNAcentral is "partial 16S ribosomal RNA". It matches the Rfam family "Bacterial small subunit ribosomal RNA", at positions 29 to 523 of the family's 1533-position model. The record is from RNAcentral.